Sus scrofa (pig) is the source of this 3612-nucleotide non-coding RNA. Lineage: Eukaryota; Metazoa; Chordata; Mammalia; Artiodactyla; Suidae. The record is from RefSeq and is a predicted model, not a curated record.
CAACCUGCAUCCUCAUGGAUGCUAGUCAGAUUCAUUUCUGCUGAAUCACGACGGGAACUCCGACUUUGGAGUCUCAUUUUCUCCACCUGACACCCCCACGAGGCAGCACUUGAACCUUCCAUGGCACAAGCUUCCGUUUUGAACCCAAACUGAGAGGGAGGAACAGGCAGGUGACCAUUUACCGGUGACGAGAGGUGCUGCCCUUUGUUAAGUACCAAGUGGGUGUCAGGCAGUGAUGGCCUUGUACUUACAAUAUCUCCUCUGGGAGAUAAUGUCCUCACUUUGCAGAUAAGGACAUUCAAGCUCAGUGAGGUUAAGUGACUUAUUUCGGGUCCCUUCGAACCAGGUGCAAGAAUGGUGGCUAUUCACUUUGGAAAAACAGUCUGGCAGUUCCUCAGUAGGUUAAACGUAGAGUUACCAUAGGACCCGGCAAUUCCAUUCCUGAGUAUGUACGUACCUAAGAGAAGUGAAAACGUAUGUUCAUGGCCAUACAUUGCAAUACAAAGCCUGUACACCAGUGUUCACAGCAGCAUUGUUCAUAAUAGCCAAAAAAGUAGAAACAACCCAAACAUCCAUCAAAUAAUGAAGGACAAAUAAAGUGUGGUCCAUACAUAGAGUGGGCUAUCCUUUGUCGGUAAAAAGAAAUGAAGUAUUGAUCCAUCCUGAGCCUGAACUUUAAAAACUUUACGUAAACGAAAUCAUUCGCAAAAAACACAGACUCUUGCAUGAUCCUGUUUAUACAAAACGUCCAGCAUGUAGAGAAAAUAGAUCAGUGGCUGCCAGGGGCUGUGGGGGAAAUGGAGAGUGACUGACAACGGUUCCAGAAUUUCACUUUUGGGUGAUGAACGAAUCCCCCAGAACUGAUUCUGUUUGCUUCUCAAUUGCUUCUAAAUUCUAAAUUGGCUUUAAAUUGGAUUGUGAUGAUCAUUGUACAACUCUGUGAAUAUUCUAAAGACCAUUGGCUUGUAUACUUUAGAUGGGUGAAUGGGUGAUAAUAUCUAAAUAAAGGUACAAAAAAUUGGUGGCUACUGCCCACUUUGCUUCUAGGGAGAGGCCAUACCACUUGGAUUGGGGAGUAACCAGAGACAUUUCUAAGAACAGAGGCCCAGGUACCAAACAGCAAGCAGCAGCAUCUGGCUUUGAAAGUAAAUGCAAAAUGCCGGGCCCCGUGCUAAGCACCUUACAUACGUUAUCGGAUUUCAUCAUCACACUAACCCCAUGAGCUUUGUGUUACUUUUGCUCUCAUUUUCUAGGAGGAAAUUGAGGCUUAGAGAGGCUUAGUAAUUUUCUCAAGGUCAUGUAUCUGUUAGGUGUUACAGCCGCCUCUACUGAAUAAAGACCUUGGAAACAACUGUGUUGAUCUGUUCAAGUCCCAGCAUCAUUCGGUAGCGGUUAAGAGAGGAGACUCUGCAGCAGGAUGGUCUGGAUGUGAAACUGCAUCUUCCUCCGGGUCCUGUGUGCAUGUGAGCAAGUUGCUUAAACUCUGUGUUCCAGUUUCUCCCCGGUAUAAGGGGAUAGUGAAAGUACUGAACCCACAAGGUUGGCGACGGAAUGAGAUCAUGUGUGGGAAGCAUCGAGGACAGCGUGUGGCACAGAGGGAGUGCCCAGUACCUGUGAACGCUUAUUAAGUCUGGUCUCUGUUGGGGGGUGGGAAGACAGGUGGUGGUUCUACUCUAGUCUAGCGGGGAAGGCAGCUGUAGACAUAAUUGAAAUCGGGAACAAUGGUGAGAGUCAGCUGAAGGCAGAGCAGAAGAUCAGAGGCGGAGGGACCAAGGAGCCAAGAGGGCCCCUUAUUCUUGUGGUCCUAGAUCUUUGGUCUUUUAGGCUCUGUUGGGAGAACGUGAACAGCAGCAGGGUUUUCCUCCCUGUCCUCUUAAGGUUUCAGGCAUUUGUAAGAAUUAUGACAUGUGGUCGGGGAAUUUCAUGAUUAGACUUUUCCUGCCAACUUGGUAAAAUUUAACACUUGAAGGGGUAGAGCAGAGAGAGUAGAAAAUGUCUUUUCUUUGGGCUUCUUGCACCGUUACCAUUAGUUAGAGCCUUAGGCUAACACAACAGAUCCCUGUUACAGGAACCUUGGGAGUCUGUAUGUUGGAGUUUAGCUAUUUAUUGAAGAGCAUCAACUGUAAGACUUAUAAGUAAAUGAGUCUUUGUGAAUGUAAUGGAUACAAGUUGAGGGAGCGAGGGGUGGGGGGAAUGAAUUCAAAACGGAAGACUAGGCUUCCAAAUAAGAAGGGGCAGAAGGGAGAAGAAAAUAAAUGGAGAGUGUGUGGGAAGCACACACUCCUUGCUUCCCAGCAGUGCAUCCUUUGGGUGCAUGACAGGCAUUCAACAGAUAUUUGCUCAAUCUGAACAGGUGGGUGGUUUACAUUCUAGUCCUACAUUGAGGAUGACCUCUGUGACCUCCUCAUUCCAGAUUUAAGUUGACCCUGUGGGAAAUUAUUCAGGAAAUCAAGCCAGAAGUGAGACCCCCUUUGUCAGGCCUUCCCUCAGAGCAGUCCUCUAUCCUUGUGAAGGUUGCCCCAGAAGACUUAGAGGGAGAUCUGGGAGCCUGCCCUGGUUGCAGCUGAGAAUCACCUGGGGAGCUUUUCGAACACCUGUCUGCUGGGCUGGCCCUCACCCCAGACCAAUCAUAUUAGGAUCUCUGGGGGUGGAGCCUGGGCCUUGGCAGGUAUCGUUUCAAAUCCUCCCCAGGUGAUUUUCAUAGGAUUCAGGGGUGAGGAGCAGGGACUAAGGCAUCAGUGGAUGGGAGGGCUGGUGGUAUCUGCCAGAAGUCUGGGUAUGCAGUUGGCCAGAGGUAAACUGCAAGUCUCGCCUGAAUGAGCGUGGAAGCGUCAGUCACCUUUUAGUUUUCCAGGGUCAUUUUCCCAGAGGCCUCUGUGAGCCUGAAGACGUCUCUGACGGAAGACAUCCCAGCCUAAGGAGGAUGCUAAGGCUGGCGGCAGAGGAAGGAGGCACAUUGUAGGAUUGAGCCUCCUGAUCUACCCUGUGAAAGACUGGUCAUGUGACUGAUGUCAGCCACUGAAAUCUCACAGGCAUCUCCAUUCUGGCAGCCCCGGGACUUGACCCCAGCACAUUGGAUUCUAUUUCACACUGUCCUCAAACCAGCUGUCUAGAUCAUCAACAUGGCCCUUCCCCUGUCUUCACUCAAGGAUUCACCUGUCAGAUACAGAGUAUCUAUUAUGAAGAGACAAGAAGAAUAAUUUUUUGGCUAUAUCUUCAGAUAGUAAGGCUGGCCUUCGUAACCCCUUCAACCAAUAGAAUAUGUCAGAAGUAGAGCUGGGCCAAUUUCCAAGCAAAAGCUUUGAUAAAAUGACAGCUUCCACUUUCUUCCCUUCAUGACUUUGCUCUUGGAUGUCUCCUACAAUGCUGUGAGGUGGUAGAGCAGCCACUUGGAGAGGCCGUGGUGUCAUCCAGUCCCCAGUCCCAGCUAAGGUUCCAACUGACAGCCAGUAUCAGCCAAUAGAUGUGUGAGCCAGCAAGCCUUGCAUGACUCUAGCUCCUGGGUGUCAGGUCACCUUCAGCUUUGGAGCUACCCAGCUGAUGCCAUGUGGAGCAGAGAUGAGCUGGCAGGGCCAGGCCCUACUCCAAGUGCUGAUUUGUAAGGAAAAUAAA